UAUGGCCAUAUCAUUUUAAAAUACCAUGUCCCGUACGAUCACCGAAGUUAAGAAACGUCGAUACUGGUCAGUAUGUUGAUGGGUGACAGCUUGGGAAUACUAGGUGGUGUA
Non-coding RNA from Acanthosepion pharaonis, 111 nucleotides. NCBI's taxonomy places the organism in Eukaryota, Metazoa, Mollusca, Cephalopoda, Sepiida, Sepiidae. The record is from the annotation of a GenBank genome assembly.